This 1446-nucleotide ribosomal RNA is filed under the name uncultured Selenomonas sp. Its description in RNAcentral is "partial 16S ribosomal RNA". It matches the Rfam family "Bacterial small subunit ribosomal RNA". Lineage: Bacteria; Bacillati; Bacillota; Negativicutes; Selenomonadales; Selenomonadaceae. The record is from RNAcentral.
UCGGACGAUUCAUCUUUUGUAGCAAUAUAGAAGAUGGGGAGUGGCGCACGGGUGAGUAACAUAUAGAUGAUCUGCCUUUCAGACAGGGACAACUCAGGGAAACUUGAGCUAAUACCAGAUAAGACCACAUGAAGGGAUUCACGUGACCAAAGGGGGAGCAAUCUCCUGCUGGAAGAUGAGUCUAUAUCCUAUCAGCUAGUUGGUGGGGUAACGGCCUACCAAGGCGAAGACGGGUAGCCGGCCUGAGAGGGUGAACGGCCACACUGGAACUGAGACACGGUCCAGACUCCUACGGGAGGCAGCAGUGAGGAAUUUUCCGCAAUGGGCGCAAGCCUGACGGAGCGACGCCGCGUGAGGGAUGAAGGUUUUCGGAUCGUAAACCUCUUUUAUUAAGGAAAAAGGCUUUAAUGCGAAUAACAUUGAAGUUUGAUUGUACUUGUUGAAUAAGCCCCGGCUAACUACGUGCCAGCAGCCGCGGUAAUACGUAGGGGGCGGGCGUUGUCCGGAGUUACUGGGCGUAAAGCGCGUGUAGGCGGUUAGUUAAGUCAGGUGUGAAACCCUUCAGCUCAACUGAGGAACUGCGCCUGAAACUGACUGACUGGAGUCUUGGAGGGGCAGCCGGAAUUCCUGGUGUAACGGUGAAAUGUGUAGAUAUCAGGAGGAACACCUGUGGCGAAAGCGGGCUUGCUGGACAAUGACUGACGCUGAGACGCUCGAAAGCGUGGGUAGCAAACAGGAUUAGAUACCCUGGUAGGUCCACGCCGUAAACGAUGAAUGCUAGGUGUAGGAGGUAUCGACCCNUUCUGUGCCGGAGUUAACGCAAUAAGCAUUCCGCCUGGGGAGUACGGUCGCAAGACUGAAACUCAAAGGAAUUGACGGGGGCCCGCACAAGCGGUGGAGUAUGUGGUUUAAUUCGACGCAACGCGAAGAACCUUACCAGGGCUUGACAUUGAGUGAAAGAUCUAGAGAUAGAUCCCUCUCUUCGGAGACACGAAAACAGGUGGUGCAUGGCUGUCGUCAGCUCGUGUCGUGAGAUGUUGGGUUAAGUCCCGCAACGAGCGCAACCCCUAUCAUUUGUUGCCAGCACGUUAUGGUGGGAACUCAAAUGAGACUGCCGCGGACAACGCGGAGGAAGGCGGGGAUGACGUCAAGUCAUCAUGCCCCUUAUGUCCUGGGCUACACACGUACUACAAUGGGAUGGACAGAGAGCAGCGAACCCGCGAGGGCAAGCGAACCCCAUAAACCAUCUCCCAGUUCGGAUUGCAGGCUGCAACCCGCCUGCAUGAAGUCGGAAUCGCUAGUAGUCGCUGGUCAGCAUACAGCGGUGAAUACGUUCCCGGGCCUUGUACACACCGCCCGUCACACCACGGAAGUCAUUCACACCCGAAGCCGGUGGGUAAACCGCAAGGAUAUAGCCGUCUAAGGUGGGGGCGAUGAUCUGGGGUG